RNAcentral lists this ribosomal RNA (253 nucleotides) under uncultured bacterium. RNAcentral describes it as "partial 16S ribosomal RNA". It matches the Rfam family "Bacterial small subunit ribosomal RNA", at positions 524 to 776 of the family's 1533-position model. The record is from RNAcentral.
UACGUAGGGUGCGAGCGUUGUCCGGAAUUACUGGGCGUAAAGAGCUCGUAGGUGGUUUGUCGCGUCUGCUGUGAAAACCCGAGGCUCAACCUCGGGCCUGCAGUGGGUACGGGCAGACUAGAGUGCGGUAGGGGAGAUUGGAAUUCCUGGUGUAGCGGUGGAAUGCGCAGAUAUCGGGAGGAACACCAGUGGCGAAGGCGGUUGCCUGGAGCUUUGCUGACGCUGAGGCGCGAAAGCGUGGGGAGCGAACAGG